AAGCAUCCAGAUAUACACAUUGCCGAACGCAUGAGGAUGGCUUUUUACCCCGACACCAUAAAAGAGCCCGGAUGGGAACCUAAAAUAAAACCUACGAGAAUACCUGUCUCAAAAAGAAUCACCGUUCUUUAUCGGAACUCCGAUGACAAUUGUACAACAUCAGAGGAGACUCAAGAAGAAGAAGAAAAAAUUAAAGAAAGACCCGUCCCACCAG
Anolis sagrei ordinatus is the source of this 214-nucleotide non-coding RNA. The record is from RefSeq and is a predicted model, not a curated record. NCBI's taxonomy places the organism in Eukaryota, Metazoa, Chordata, Lepidosauria, Squamata, Anolidae.